This is a long non-coding RNA of Apis cerana (Asiatic honeybee), 1167 nucleotides long. RefSeq lists it as uncharacterized. The record is from RefSeq and is a predicted model, not a curated record. NCBI's taxonomy places the organism in Eukaryota, Metazoa, Arthropoda, Insecta, Hymenoptera, Apidae.
UAACGAAUGAUAGAAAAUUAUUUUUUAAUUUCAUCUUUUUUCUUUUCUUUGAAAUUAUGAUUUUUAUACACUUUUUCUUCGAUAGUGGUUUUUGCUGUAAGUUCUUUGCCUUGACUUCUUUUAUUCUGUUUCUAUGCGAGUAAUUUUGUAAAUUAACCGAGGACAUGAGUUUCGUUACAAGGUAACGAAUCUCAUGUAAGCGUGUAAUGCGAUCGAAAGUACGAAGAAAGAAUUUGUAUGACUAUCAAAACUUUAUUUAAUAAAUUUGUGACUAGUAAUUGAUAAGUAAACACACACACACACACACAAAAUUAUUUAUUUAUUUAAUAAAAUUAUUAUUAAUAACAAUAAUUUUAUUAUUUAUUAUUAAUUCAAAUCGAUUUAAAUUAUUAAUGAAUGAAGUUGUAUAUUUCAAUUAUAUUAUUAAUAAAAUUAUUAUGAUAAUGAUAAAUUAUUUAUAAUAAAAUUCGUAGAACUUAUCAAGUUAAAUAUUUUUUUUUUAAACUUAAAUUAGUAUCGAACUAGUUGAAUAUAAAAUAGUGGGACGAAGUUUAUUUUAUAGAAUUAAGCAGUUGAUAUCCUAGCUGGAUAUAUAUAUGGUUAUAGGGCUCUGGUUAUCGAAACGAAUCAAGUAUCCGAAAUUUGAGUCGAGCACUUUUCUUACUUAAAAUGAAUCAAGUACUUGACACGCGAGUCGAAUAAACUCUCGGAACUCAAUUAUUUGUAUAAUUAUAGAUGAUACGGUUAAAAAUUAUGCGAAUAUCGAUGAAAAUACGUACCUUGCAUUCCGGAAUGCCAUGGUUGACAAGCAAGGCUAAUCCUUUCUCGGACAGCGCCCUUACCAGUUUCGAAGACACUUGCUUCACGACACCCUUCUGAGGACAUCUCUCAGUCCCUGGAGGAAUAAAGCGAAAAGAAUAAGAGAGAGAACGGAGAAAAAGAAAGAGAAAAGAAGAGGAAAUACAAGUAUAUAUUUAGGAUUUCCACAUACGUUGUUUUUGUUAAAGAUAAUAAUCACUGAUUGAAGUGAAGACUCUUUAAAUUGAAUUUUUUAUAACUACUUUUGUCAAAAUAAGAAAUUAAAUUAUUCAACUUAAUUAUCCAGUUUCCAAAAUUCAAAUUUUUAAGAUUCAAAUAGAUAUUCAAAUUUGUGUUCUUGUUUCAAAA